RNAcentral lists this ribosomal RNA (643 nucleotides) under uncultured bacterium. Its description in RNAcentral is "bacterial SSU rRNA". It matches the Rfam family "Bacterial small subunit ribosomal RNA", at positions 232 to 885 of the family's 1533-position model. The record is from RNAcentral.
CGCGGCCUAUCAGCUUGUUGGUGGGGUAACGGCCUACCAAGGCGACGACGGGUAGCCGGCCUGAGAGGGCGACCGGCCACACUGGGACUGAGACACGGCCCAGACUCCUACGGGAGGCAGCAGUGGGGAAUAUUGCGCAAUGGGCGAAAGCCUGACGCAGCGACGCCGCGUGAGGGAUGAAGGCCUUCGGGUUGUAAACCUCUUUCAGCAGGGACGAAGCGAAAGUGACGGUACCUGCAGAAGAAGCACCGGCCAACUACGUGCCAGCAGCCGCGGUAAUACGUAGGGUGCAAGCGUUGUCCGGAAUUAUUGGGCGUAAAGAGCUCGUAGGCGGCCUGUCGCGUCGGCUGUGAAAACCCAGGGCUCAACCCUGGGCCUGCAGUCGAUACGGGCAGGUUAGAGUCCGGCAGGGGAGACUGGAAUUCCUGGUGUAGCGGUGAAAUGCGCAGAUAUCAGGAGGAACACCGGUGGCGAAGGCGGGUCUCUGGGCCGGAACUGACGCUGAGGAGCGAAAGCGUGGGGAGCGAACAGGAUUAGAUACCCUGGUAGUCCACGCCGUAAACGUUGGGCGCUAGGUGUGGGGAACCUUCCACGUUCUCCGUGCCGCAGCUAACGCAUUAAGCGCCCCGCCUGGGGAGUACGG